Molecule: long non-coding RNA, 6089 nt
Organism: Dreissena polymorpha
Lineage: Eukaryota; Metazoa; Mollusca; Bivalvia; Myida; Dreissenidae
Exons: 4
Source: RefSeq, a predicted model, not a curated record
UUUUCUGUCAUUCUUCGUUUGGUCGUUGAAGGGUUCGGACGUGUUUUUCGAAGCUCUCGACGUCGUGACCUAAUUAUAAUUUGAACUGCGCGGGUAAAAAACGCUCAGUUGCGGCUUGGACAUUGACCAAUACGGACGUGUUUUUAAAGCGCUCUGAAAAAAGUUUUGACUUUUAAAUUUUUUUUACUACGACAGAAUCUUAGUUGACUGAUGGUCUUUGACAAAGACAGACUUGUUUUUGUGAGCUCUGAAAAAAAUUUGACUUUGAAAUAUUUUUACGAUUAAAAAGUUUCAGUUGACUUUUGAACGUUGACGAAGACGGACGUACUUUCGUGAGCUCUGACUAUUGAUGAAAAGUUUUGAGUUUUACUGACUUGUACUUUGAGAGUAAAAUUGACUUCGCGUUAUAGAAUAGCGACUUGGUACUCAGGUUGUUGAAUGACUGGAUGACUGUAGUGUUAGGUUAUUGUUAUGAGAUAACAACUUGACUUUGACUUGAGUUGUGAAAUGAAAUCAUACUCUUAUGCGAUGUUAACUUUUGAACGUUUAGUAUUGACUGACAACGAACUUUUGUGAGCGUUAUAUAUGAAAUGUUUGACUUACAUUAAUUUUUUUGAACGACUUGACUUCACUUUAAGUUUUGACAUCGGACUGAUCGGACGUGUUUUUUUAAGCCCUGACUGUUGUGAAUAAUUAAAUUUAUGUUGUGGUGUCAAGCGAUUGACUGUCAGUUGAGGUUCAGAUGUCGAGCUGUGCGGACGUGUUCAUCGAGCUGCUGUCUACAAAAAACGUGAGUACAAAUUUUUUUCGUUUUACUGUUUACAAGUUGCGUGAUGAUGUAUGAUGGUUGUAAUGUGUUGGGUAGAAAUUACUCAGUGCUGAUACAGUGUCGAUAUGUUGUGAUGAGCGAUAAUAGUGGAUGAUGGUGGAACAGAAUAUUCAUUGAGCUAUUUUGAGGAAGCGAACAUAUGAUGGAAAAAUGUUGCAAAAAUAUUAAAUGACAAUGUAUUGAAUCGCUUUUGUUGAUAUGUAUGAUAUUGAUUAAAUUGUAUUUGCAUGCUGUAACAUUUCUAUUCCAUUUCAGGGGGCUGUGGUGAGUAUUGUAGUAUAAAUUUGUUUCAAUAAAUCAUGAUGAAUGAAAACUGAUUUUGAUUCGUUUUGUACAGGUUUACUUGUAUAGAAGUGUAAUGCGUUGGGUAGAAAUUAGAAUCUACUCAGUACUGAUAUAGUGUCGAUAUGUUGUGAUUAGCGAUGAUGGUGUAUGAUGGUGGAACAGAACAUGAGCUACUUUGGGGAAACGAACAUAUGAUUGAACAAUGAUUGCAAACAUAUUAGAUGAAUGAUAUGAUAUUGCUUAAAUUGUAUUUGCAUGCUGUAACAUUUCUAUUUCAUUUCAGGGUGCUGUGGUGAGUACUGUAGAUUGUAGUGCAUAUGUAUAGAAUUCAAUAAAAGAUUAUGACUGAAAACUGCUUUUGAUUCUUAUUGUACAGUUUUAGGGAUUAUAAGUCUAUAGCAACUCUGUCGGUUGGUGUUCAUGAGUGUGAGCUUAAUACAGCAAUGUUUGAGUAGUACAAAAAUGUUUUCGCUUUUGUGGUCGCCAGCUGUCCGUGAUCUGUAAAGUGAAAAUACACAGAGCUAUGAAGCAUACAGAUGUUUCGAAAUUUUAUCAAUGAUUGUAUACUAUGCAUGUUUUGAUUUAGUUCGUUUCAGAUUUGACAUGAGAUGAAAACCUGACAUGAUUUGAACAGAGCUGGGAAAUGAAAAGAUUUUCAGAUGUGUGCUGGCAGUUCAAGUCUGGCAGCUGGAGUGAACAGUCGUGUUUUCUGGAGCUCCAACAAUAUGCUAGAAGGUAAGUAACUAUGUUUGUUUUGCAUUGCAUGUUUUUAUAUGUUUCAGACUUUCAAGCAGAGAUGUCAUGCUGACUGGAGUUGAGCACAGGGCAGUGACAAAGUGAAAGGUAAGUACUUUUGACUGAAUGUUUGUUCUAUGCAUGUUUUGUUUUAAUACAUUUCAGGAGUGCUUAUCCAGUGAUGAUAUGACAGUUGGAGUGAACAGUGGAGCCAAGCAGUCUUGUUUUUGGAGCUACUCAACAAGCCUUGAAGGUAAGUUUAGAAUUUCUCAAUGUUAGUGAAUUGAAGUACUGUCACUUGCUUUUGGACAGUCGAACAGAACAGACGUGGUUGCGAGAGCUCUCAUAUCUGUUGUGUUAAACUGUUUUUAUGAUAUGUUAUGUUUGUUUGUUUGUUUGUGAUGUACUAUUUUUCAGAUGCUGAUGGCAGUGAUGGGUUUUCAAGCUGACCUGAACAGAAAAGCAGUCAUAUGGUAAGUACAAAAUAGUUGUUAUAUGGGAUGUUUUGUGCAUGCUUUUAUGUUUCAGGUGUACUUGCUGACAGCGACGAAGACGAAUCAAGAAGAGGAACAUUGUUGAGACAGUGAUUGGGACUUGCAAACAGGGUAAGUGUAACACUUGUGUUUGUUUAAUUUGUAACAUGCGUGCUUUGCUCUGUUUCAGAUUUCACAUGCAGAAAUUAAACAGGAUCUCAACUGCUGAAACACAAUUCAUCAAAAGUAAGGUAAGUUUUAAUUCAUUGAUUUGAAUUGUACAAUGUGUUCUUUACUUUAUUUCAGAUUCGAGUCACUGGUUUACACAUGGAAGAAGAUUUCCACGUCUGUUACUCAACUCUACAGAAGCAAGGUAAGUCGAUCAAUUUUUUGUUUUAAUUUGUACUGCUGUAAUGUGAUGGUAAACUUAUGCUAUUUUUUAUGUGUGUCAUGUACAGAUGGAUAAUUCAAGUUUGAUCUGUGUUGGUUUAUGUUCAAAAACGUUUUACAUGUAUGUGUGUUUCCAGAUGUUUUGUUUCAGUUGAUGUCCAGAUGGCAAGCAGAACAGACGUGUUUCUUGGAUCUGCCAAACAGUGAGUACAAACGUUUUAUAUUUUUCAGUUGUGUACUCAUAGAAGUCUGUGAAAGAUGAUAGCAAGGGUAGAAUCUAUCAGUACUUGUGUCUAAAAAUGCUGAUGUGUGACGGUUUACUGAAAAGGGUAAAUGCUAGCCAGUACUUACACUUGAGCAACCGUGGGAUGUCGAACUAACUGAUGAUGUACUAUGAUGGUGAACACUUACUAUGUGUAUCAAAAUGCUUUUGUUGAUAUUUACUAUAGAUGAUUUGAUAUUGGUUAACAUUUGUUUGCAUGCUGUUAACAUUUCUAUUUCAUUUCAGGGAGCUGUGGUAAGUAUUGUAGUAUUAAUUUGUCUCAAUAAACGAUGAUGAAUGAAAACUGAUGUCGAUUCUUUUUGUACAGUUUUAGGUAUUAGCACUCUAUACAAAACUCUGUCGGUCGGUGUUUGUGAAUGUGAGCUUAAUGUUUGAGUAGAACAAAAAUGUCUUUACUUUUGUGAUCGCCAGUUGUCUGUGAUGUAAAGUGGAAAAAACACAGCUAUGAAGCAUACAAUUGUUUCAAUAUUUUAUCAAUGAUAGUGUGCUAUGCAUGUUUUGAUUUAGUUCGUUUCAGAUACGACAUGACAUGAAGAGUUGACAGUCGAACAGAGCUGAGCAAAGCAGAAAGGUAAGUGUGUUUCAUUUUAGUAUGAACACUUGUAUUUUGUUUUUAUAUGGUAUGUUUUGUGCAUGCUAUGUUUCAGGUGUACUUGUAGUAAGCGACGAAGACGAUUCAAGAAGAGGAACAUUGCUGAGAAAGUGAAUGGGACUUGCAAACAGGGUAAGUGUUACAAUUGUUUGUUUGAUUUUUACCAUGCAUACUUUGCUUUGCUCUGUUUCAGAUUUCACAUGCAGAAAUGGUCUCAUAGCAGUGCCAACAGUGAAUAAGGAUUUCAGCUGCUGUGAAACAACUCAACAGAAAGUAGGUAAGCAUUGAAUGAAUGCACUUGAGUUGUACAAUUUGAUGUGAUGCUUUUUUCUGUUUCAGAUUCAAGUUUCUGGUGUAGACAGAAAAAUGUGUUUGAAGAAGGAAUUCUACUACUGUGAUUCAACUCUACAGAAGCAAGGUAAGUAGAAACAAAAUUUUGGUUUAAUUUAACUCAUGUGUUUUGCACUGCAUGCUAUUUUUCAGGUCUCUCAUGCAGUGAUGCAAAAGAAGAAGAUUUCAAGAAAGAAUCACUGCUGCAACUCAGGCCUAUAACAAGGUAAGUGUUUACUAUAUUGUAUACAAAAUGUUUCUCUGUUUUACUCUGUUUGAAGGUUUCAAUUGCAGAGAUGUUGCAGAGAUGUUUUGACAGCUUGUGACAGAAAAGAAAUUCAGCAGCUGUGUCUCGACUCUAGCCACGAGGUAAGUCAAAACAAAUAUACUGGUUUGUAUGUAAUGUUGUUAUGCCAUUCUAUGUUUCAGACUUACAUUGCUGUGACUGUUCCACAGUGGGUCAAAAAAGAGACGAAUACAGGUUUCAAGAAGAAAAUUGGCUGUUGAAAACCUGCACAAAAUAUGAGGUAAGUAAACUAUUCUUUUGGUUUGUUUUGUGCUUUGUUAUGCUUAACUAUUUUUCAGAUUGGAAUGGUGGGUCGUUACAGAGCAGGCUUUUGGACUACUGAGAAGUUGAGAAACAGAGAAUGAUUCAAGAUCAGCUAGGUAAGUCUUGAUUAUUAUGCAUUGCUAAAUGUUUUUUUCAUUUCAGUAUGGCUGUGGUAAGUACAAUUGCCUUCUUUAAUUUUUAUAUUUAACUGUUUUGAUGACUUGUAUACUGCUAUGCAAUGCUUAAUGUUUUUUACAUUUCAGUGUGGCUGUGGUAAGUACACUAACUUUCUUUAAUUUUCAUAUUGAACUGUUUUGAUGACCUGUAUUCUGCAUUGUAAAAUGUGUUUCUUUUUCAUUUCAGUAUGGCUGUGGUAAGUACACAAACUUUCUUUAAUUUUCAUAUUGAACUGUUUUGAUGACUUGUAUUCUGCUAAACAAAAUGUGCUUUUUUCAAUUUCAGGUCAGCAAUGGUAAGUAGAUUGUGUUUCUUUAUGUAUAAUUGUGUAUACAAAGUUUUUUUUUCAUCAUAGCAUGUCUUUUAUAUUUAUGCUUUGUGUAAGUAAAAUGUUCAUAAAUCAUUCUUAUCUUCAAACUAAAAAUGUAUUGUGCUAUGCAAAAUGUCUGUAUGUUUUCAGUUGCCAGAGGUGAGUACCAUUACAGUUGAAAAGUUAGUUUUGUUUAGUUAAAGUUUUGGUUCACAGUUUUGUUUGUUAUUUGGCAAAAUUUACAUGUAUGCAUUGAGUCUUGAUUUCAGCUCGAUUGUGGACUGAAGAAGAUUGCCAGCAGAGGGAUUGGAUACAAAAUACAAAGUAAGUACUGAGUUUCUUACUAAAAGUUUUGAGUUGUAUUCAUUGUGUGUAAAUAUGCUAUGAUUGCUAUGAACAUGACUUUUGUAUUUCAGCGAAGACAACAUAGGUAAGUAAAAUUGUUAUCUGUUUCAUGUUUACUGUUACAGUUCAAUAUUGUGUUUAUAAAUUUUAAGUUGUACAAACACAUUCAAAAGUUUCUAAUCAUGCUUUCGAUUUCAUUUCAGCUUUACUGCUAGACGAGUGUUCUCUACUACUUGACGAGUCAGCUUUACUACCAGGCGAGCAGUGACAACAAGGCGCCUUUGUGGAAACAACACAACAAAAAACUCUACUGCUAGACGAGCAGUGACAGAAAGGCGCCUGAACAUGCAACACAAUACAAAAAAUGCCAAUAUCCAAACCUUGAUGUGGACACCGAGUAGUCAAUACAUACGUGUGGCGUAUAGCUGCGACAAAACCGUGGGUCCAUCGCACCGAUAACUUGAACAUUGGCCCGUGUAUGGACAUCAGUGCAACUUUGUGAAUCCAUGUAUCUUUGUGAAUCCAUGUAACAUUGCGAAUGUGUGUCGAUCGAAAAAUGUGUACAUUCUGAACUGAAACGAACUCGGUGUUGCAAGUGGCAAGUGUUGACAGUGUGUAUGUUUAUGUUUAUGUUUUUACAUGAAAACUAAAGGAGAUUGUUCUCCUACCUUUUUUUUCCUUGUUUUAUUGCGCUGGCCAGCAAUAUUGAUGUAUUGAUGUAUGUGUUUGUGUUUAAACUAUGCAAUACCAAAAUCAAACAAAAAAUAAACAUUAACAGUCAUUAACUGUG